GUCAGGAUAGCUUAGCUGGUAAAGGAGAGGACUGAAAUUCCCCAUGUCACUAGUUCAAAUUUGGUUCCUAGCA
Transfer RNA from Lupinus angustifolius (narrow-leaved blue lupine), 73 nucleotides. It matches the Rfam family "tRNA". Rfam says of the family: Transfer RNA (tRNA) molecules are approximately 80 nucleotides in length. Their secondary structure includes four short double-helical elements and three loops (D, anti-codon, and T loops). Further hydrogen bonds mediate the characteristic L-shaped molecular structure. tRNAs have two regions of fundamental functional importance: the anti-codon, which is responsible for specific mRNA codon recognition, and the 3' end, to which the tRNAs corresponding amino acid is attached (by aminoacyl-tRNA synthetases). tRNAs cope with the degeneracy of the genetic code in two manners: having more than one tRNA (with a specific anti-codon) for a particular amino acid; and 'wobble' base-pairing, i.e. permitting non-standard base-pairing at the 3rd anti-codon position. The record is from Rfam. Lineage: Eukaryota; Viridiplantae; Streptophyta; Magnoliopsida; Fabales; Fabaceae.